RNAcentral lists this long non-coding RNA (461 nucleotides) under Populus euphratica (Euphrates poplar). Lineage: Eukaryota; Viridiplantae; Streptophyta; Magnoliopsida; Malpighiales; Salicaceae. The record is from RNAcentral.
UUAAUUAAGUUAUAUUUAGAUUUUUUAGGUUGAUCAGGUUAUAUCAUGCCAAUUUACUCUUUGCCCAAUUUGAAAUCUAAGCUAACCAAGGAGCUAAGUCGUCUCUAGGUUGAAUCACCGGAUUGACUUGGUUUUGAUGCCAUGGCCAAAGAGUUUUAUGUGAUAACACAUAUUCGAUUUACUAUUUUUAUGUUUUUUAAAUAAAUUUAUGUUAAAAUUAUCAUAAUUUAUCUAAAAAACAUAUAUUCUUUUUAUUUUUUAAAUGCCAAUUGAUAACUAGAGUACGCUGGUAAGAUAAAAGGAGAUUAGAAAGAUGCCACUUUUAUUCUUGUUUCAAAUUGUUUAGAAUUUUUUUGGAUAAAAUUAAAAAAAUCAUGGGUAUAUAUUUUUUUUAACGUUAAAAUUUUUAAUCCAAUCUGCAGUGAAAUACAGGACCAUUCACUAGUUUAAUCUAAUUUUAG